Long non-coding RNA from Oreochromis aureus, 1075 nucleotides. The record is from Ensembl. Lineage: Eukaryota; Metazoa; Chordata; Actinopteri; Cichliformes; Cichlidae.
UUAUCAUUCAUGCUCCACUCUUCCCUUUCUCAUUGUGAUGGACCGAGCAGUGAAGGAAACUUAGGCACAGGUUAAAGUCCAAAAAAAUUAUUUUUUAUUUAACCCAAAAAACAUAAGUGGUUAAAUUAUGCAAAAAGAAUCAAAGUCUUGGGCCCUUAAAAGAGGUCAAAAUAACAGAACUCUACUCAAAGUUGACAACACUACUGAUAACUCAAACAAACUGACCUAACUUAACGAGACAAAGGGGAAACUUAAAUAGUGGCUGAUCAGCCCACAAAAACAGGAGAAGGGGGUAAAACACACAAAACCUAACUAAACCAAACAUAAUGAACUCCAAUUCCCCCCCCAUGGUCCCGAGUUAUGGCAUGAACCAAUUUGCAGUUUUCCUUUAAAGCUCGCUCCGCCCCUUUUCCACCUCUUGGCUCCUUAAUCAAGAGACUGGAACAGCUGCAACUAAGGUACACCAGAGCGACAUUAUCUCCUUCCUCCAGACCGCCUCUCUCCAUCAGCAGAGCUGCCACUCCCUCCGCCGUCUGCAGACAGGUGAGAGAGCUGGACACUGCCCCCUGCAGGAGGUGAGAGAGGGGAACGGUGUGAGCCAUCAAGAAGCCACCUGCCACACUCAAAGGACAAAGACUGCAGUUCAUCUAACGGCCAGUUCAUCCACAGUUAUGGAUAAUUAUUAUUCCGUUUUCUACUUGCUUGAAUUUUUCUACAAUUUUUUAAGGUGCCCAGUUGUGCGUGGGUGUGCUGGUACCAGAGAGCUGAGCAGGGUUUGGAGAGGACGGGGUCCUGUGUGGUCUGAGCUCUCCACUGCAAACCUCGGACAGGAACAGAAACUGCAAGACAGACAUAAACACUUCUUUUACACACACUUUGAUGGCCUAACCUCUGUGUUUUUUACAUUAAUGUGUUUACGUGUGAUGUACAUGACUAUUGUGCAUCUGGCUCAGUGUUUGAUAUUGUAAAGCAAAGUCAAUAACAGCAAAAAUUUAAUAUUUUACUUUUAUUUCUGUCGCCCUCCUGCAUCAAUCCCAGAAUCACCCACACCCUUUACCACAUUUGCUUACUGUAG